CCUACGGGAGGCAGCAGUAGGGAAUCUUCCACAAUGGGCGAAAGCCUGAUGGAGCAACGCCGCGUGAGUGAUGAAGGCCUUCGGGUUGUAAAACUCUGUCAUUCGGGACGAACCGGAGUCUGAGGAAAUGCAGACUCUCUGACGGUACCGGAGGAGGAAGCCCCGGCUAACUACGUGCCAGCAGCCGCGGUAAUACGUAGGGGGCAAGCGUUGUCCGGAUUCACUGGGCGUAAAGCGCGCGCAGGCGGUGAUGUAAGUCUGAGGUGAAAACCCGAAGCUCAACUUCGGGACUGCCUUGGAUACUGCGUCACUUGAGGAUAGGAGAGGCAAGGGGAAUUCCACGUGUAGCGGUGAAAUGCGUAGAGAUGUGGAGGAACACCUGUGGCGAAGGCGCCUUGCUGGCCUAUUCUGACGCUGAGGCGCGAAAGCGUGGGGAGCAAACAGGAUUAGAUACCCUGGUAGUCCACGCUGUAAACGAUGAGUGCUAGGUGUAGGUGGGCUCAUACCCAUCUGUGCCGAAGCUAACGCAUUAAGCACUCCGCCCUGGGGGAGGUACGGUCGCGAGACGUAGAACGUACAAGUAGAAGUUAGACGGCGUUGAGGACGNGCCGACGGACGACGACGAGGGAGGAGG
Molecule: ribosomal RNA, 634 nt
Filed under: uncultured bacterium
Lineage: Bacteria
Description: bacterial SSU rRNA
Rfam family: Bacterial small subunit ribosomal RNA (bases 1-543)
Source: RNAcentral